Molecule: ribosomal RNA, 196 nt
Filed under: uncultured bacterium
Lineage: Bacteria
Description: partial 16S ribosomal RNA
Rfam family: Bacterial small subunit ribosomal RNA
Source: RNAcentral
ACGCUCGACACCUACGGGGGCAGCAGUGGGGAAUAUUGCACAAUGGGGGAAACCCUGAUGCAGCGACGCCGCGUGAGUGAAGAAGUAUUUCGGUAUGUAAAGCUCUAUCAGCAGGGAAGAAAAUGACGGUACCUGACUAAGAAGCCCCGGCUAACUACGUGCUAGCAGCCGCGGUAAUCUGAGCGGCUGGCAAGGC